AAAUUUUCAGUCACAGUUCUGGGUUUGAGAGCAGAUAACCCCCCUUGAGUAUGAUGGUUAGCAAAAUGCAGAAGGCAAUGUAAUAACUACCUCUUGACAUGCAACAUCAAAUGAAAUGCUUGAGAUUCAGGAAAUGCAAGGUCGACAAAAGAAAGGUUCAAUGUCAGUAUAGCAAGUUGUAUCUACUGUCUUUAGUAAGAACCAUUUGUCUUUUGCAGAUAUUGAUUGAUGCCACUAAGAAACACCAAACAAAAUAGAACCAAAGUAAACCAGUAAAGAAACAUAAAAGAAAUGUAUGAUUACAGCUCCAUGAUUGAAUUUCCAAGCAUCCCAUGACUCGAUUAAUAAAUCAAACUCCUAACACUGUAAUAGGACGGACCCACAAUGGUUACUAAAAAGAAAAUGCAGUGAGAAGAGAAUCCUCGACUUACUACAUUCAUGAUCGAGGUAAUCUAGGGUUUCUACCGCUUGGAGUCUGUAUCUCGGUUAACCUGUCUACGUUGA
Molecule: long non-coding RNA, 504 nt
Filed under: Linum usitatissimum (flax)
Lineage: Eukaryota; Viridiplantae; Streptophyta; Magnoliopsida; Malpighiales; Linaceae
Description: long non-coding RNA (LUSI_LNC001729)
Source: RNAcentral